AAGUCGUAACAAGGUAUCUGUAGGUGAACCUGCAGAUGGAUCAUUUCGAUGAAAACCUUUUUUCAGAGGUGUGGCUCGCACCUGUCUAACUAAAUGAGCUACCUUUUUCAACACGGUUGCAUCGGUCGAGUGCCCUGUCAAAAAACGCGAAAGCGUUGAUUUGCAUGCGGGCCUCGACACUUUACAAAAACACUUUUUGAUCUACUAGGAUUUGAAUGACAAUUUACGACUGGUAAUUCGGUCGUUUAAAUUAAAAACAACUUUUGGCAACGGAUCUCUUGGUUCUCC
Molecule: unclassified non-coding RNA, 288 nt
Filed under: Anthracocystis grodzinskae
Lineage: Eukaryota; Fungi; Basidiomycota; Ustilaginomycetes; Ustilaginales; Ustilaginaceae
Description: partial internal transcribed spacer region
Rfam family: Eukaryotic small subunit ribosomal RNA (bases 1-46)
Source: RNAcentral